GCCCUCUUAGUGCAGUAGGCAGCGUGUCAGUCUCAUAAUCUGAAGGUCCUCAAUUAGAACCUCAGAGGGGGCA
Non-coding RNA from Bos taurus (domestic cattle), 73 nucleotides. NCBI's taxonomy places the organism in Eukaryota, Metazoa, Chordata, Mammalia, Artiodactyla, Bovidae. The record is from Rfam.